This is a non-coding RNA of Lupinus albus (white lupine), 95 nucleotides long. Lineage: Eukaryota; Viridiplantae; Streptophyta; Magnoliopsida; Fabales; Fabaceae. The record is from the annotation of a GenBank genome assembly.
GAAGGAGACAUCCAAAGGGAUCGCAUUGAUCCUAGACCUGGGUCUUAAAUCUCUCUUAAUAUUUGGGAUCAUGCUAUCCCUUUGGAUUCUUCCUU